This 253-nucleotide ribosomal RNA is filed under the name uncultured bacterium. Its description in RNAcentral is "partial 16S ribosomal RNA". It matches the Rfam family "Bacterial small subunit ribosomal RNA", at positions 524 to 776 of the family's 1533-position model. The record is from RNAcentral.
UACGUAGGGUGCAAGCGUUGUCCGGAAUUAUUGGGCGUAAAGAGCUCGUAGGCGGUUCGUCGCGUCGGCUGUGAAAUCCCGAGGCUCAACCUCGGGUCUGCAGUCGAUACGGGCGGACUGGAGUACUGCAGGGGAGACUGGAAUUCCUGGUGUAGCGGUGAAAUGCGCAGAUAUCAGGAGGAACACCGGUGGCGAAGGCGGGUCUCUGGGCAGUUACUGACGCUGAGGAGCGAAAGCGUGGGGAGCGAUCCGG